This 344-nucleotide unclassified non-coding RNA is filed under the name Hevea brasiliensis (rubber tree). Lineage: Eukaryota; Viridiplantae; Streptophyta; Magnoliopsida; Malpighiales; Euphorbiaceae. The record is from RNAcentral.
CGAACUCUUCUUCGUUAGCUUGAUUUUGUCGGAACCCUCCAGAUGGUCCACCUGUCCGACAGUUUUCUUGUCUGACGAGAUGAUGUCCAUGUGUUCUUUCACUUGCGAUGUGUCCGGCAUUGAUAAAACUCCUAUGGUUGGGAACAUCAAACGCGCGACAGUCCGUAAGGUUGCGUAUGUCCGAGAUGAUCAGAAGAUGCCGCUCCGUACCGGCGGGGCAUUGGAGAAUCGGGAUGUUAUCACGGAGCAAGCCCAUGGCCGCUUGUUCCGUGGCAUACAGGUUUUCUCGCCGAUGCCGGGAGAACGCGAGUAGUCAUCAAUCGGCAUUGUGGCCGAGGUGUUGC